Molecule: ribosomal RNA, 254 nt
Filed under: uncultured bacterium
Lineage: Bacteria
Description: partial 16S ribosomal RNA
Rfam family: Bacterial small subunit ribosomal RNA
Source: RNAcentral
UACGGGGGGGGCAAGCGUUGUUCGGAAUUACUGGGCGUAAAGGGCGCGUAGGCGGCCUGCUAAGUCGGACGUGAAAUCCCUCGGCUCAACCGGGGAACUGCGUCCGAUACUGGCGAGGCUUGAAUCCGGGAGAGGGAUGUGGAAUUCCAGGUGUAGCGGUGAAAUUCGUAGAUAUUCGCAAGAACACCAGUGGCGAAGGCGGCUCACUGGCCCGGUACUGACGCUGAGGUGCGAAAGCGUGGGGAGCAAACAGG